This 468-nucleotide ribosomal RNA is filed under the name uncultured bacterium. RNAcentral describes it as "partial 16S ribosomal RNA". It matches the Rfam family "Bacterial small subunit ribosomal RNA", at positions 28 to 507 of the family's 1533-position model. The record is from RNAcentral.
GACGAACGCUGGCGGCGUGCUUAACACAUGCAAGUCGAACGGAAAGGCCCUGCUUUUGUGGGGUGCUCGAGUGGCGAACGGGUGAGUAACACGUGAGUAACCUGCCCUUGACUUUGGGAUAACUUCAGGAAACUGGGGCUAAUACCCGAUAGGAGCUCCUGCUGCAUGGUGUGGGUUGGAAAGUUUCGGCUGUUGGGGAUGGACUCGCGGCUUAUCAGCUUGUUGGUGGGGUAGUGGCUUACCAAGGCUUUGACGGGUAGCCGGCCUGAGAGGGUGACCGGCCACAUUGGGACUGCGAUACGGCCCAGACUCCUACGGGAGGCAGCAGUGGGGAAUAUUGCACAAUGGGCGGAAGCCUGAUGCAGCAACGCCGCGUGCGGGAUGACGGCCUUCGGGUUGUAAACCGCUUUCGCCUGUGACGAAGCGUGAGUGACGGUAAUGGGUAAAGAAGCACCGGCUAACUACGUG